ACUUGGAAAAGUCAGUCAAAGAGGGUAAAAACCCCGUAGACGAAAUGUGGAAGACACCUAGGAGGAUCCUGAGUACGGCGGAACACGAGAAAUUCCGUCGGAAUCCGGGAGGACCAUCUCCCAAGGCUAAAUACUCCCUAGUGACCGAUAGUGAACCAGUACCGUGAGGGAAAGGUGAAAAGCACCCCGGAAGGGGAGUGAAAUAGAACCUGAAACCGUGUGCCUACAACAAGUCAAAGCCCGUUAAUGGGUGAUGGCGUGCCUUUUGUAGAAUGAACCGGCGAGUUACGAUUGCAUGCGAGGUUAAGUUGAAGAGACGGAGCCGCAGCGAAAGCGAGUCUGAAUAGGGCGUUUGAGUAUGUAGUCGUAGACCCGAAACCAUGUGAUCUACCCAUGUCCAGGUUGAAGGUGCGGUAAAACGCACUGGAGGACCGAACCCACGUACGUUGAAAAGUGCGGGGAUGAGGUGUGGGUAGCGGAGAAAUUCCAAACGAACUUGGAGAUAGCUGGUUCUCUCCGAAAUAGCUUUAGGGCUAGCCUCGGAAUUGAGAAUGAUGGAGGUAGAGCACUGUUUGGACUAGGGGCCCAUCUCGGGUUACCGAAUUCAGAUAAACUCCGAAUGCCAUUCAUUCAUAUCCGGGAGUCAGACUGUGAGUGAUAAGAUCCAUAGUCGAAAGGGAAACAGCCCAGACCACCAGCUAAGGUCCCAAAAUAUAUGUUAAGUGGAAAAGGAUGUGGGGUUGCACAGACAACUAGGAUGUUGGCUUAGAAGCAGCCACCAUUUAAAGAGUGCGUAA
RNAcentral lists this ribosomal RNA (797 nucleotides) under Enterococcus faecium. RNAcentral's name for it is "partial 23S ribosomal RNA". It matches the Rfam family "Bacterial large subunit ribosomal RNA", at positions 340 to 1137 of the family's 2925-position model. The record is from RNAcentral. Lineage: Bacteria; Bacillati; Bacillota; Bacilli; Lactobacillales; Enterococcaceae.